CAAAUCAUAAAGUAAAUAGUCACACACAAUGAUUUGAAAGACGAUAUCACUUCAGAUUUCGUAGGGUCAGAGCACGGUUGCUUCAAAUUUAGCCCUUUCAAUGUCUCGCAGCUGUUGAUUUUUAGGGUGACUAUUUGUCCAGGUUAGAGCCGCUUUAUAGGUGCUCUGUCCUGGACUUUGUGGGUUGUGGGGAAAUGAACUCCUUAUUAUGAGUCAUAAAACCCGUGUUGUGGCUCUCACUCAGCCGCAAAUAGUUUGCAGUUGCAGAAUAUCUGGCUCCAAUUACAACUGUAGUAAACAAUUCUUCACUUUUUGGGUUUGAUUUUAGGGCCUGUGUGUUAGCCAUUUACGCGCCAAAAUUUGAAAGUAAAUAAGCUUUUUUAAAUAGAUCAAUUAUUACAGCAUGGAAAUGGGAUUGGUGCGAUGCUCAAUACUUUGCGCUACCUCAUCCAAUACUUGCAAUGCUGUUGCCGAAGAUCGAGAGAAUAACACUUGUAAUUGGGUUAAGUUUGUGGACAAAGUCUCUUGUUUCAAACAAUUCCCCUUGAAAUCUGGUGGAAGCAAGCUUUUAAUGGGAGAUCAUAACCUGGUAUCAAUGAUCAAGGGGUAAUAUUUAGCUUUCCCAAGUGAAAACAUUGGACUGGCAGUGGAAAAUUUGGAUAGUAGCGGCGUCAUUCCCACAAUUCCCAUUCCUAACCUACCAAAGCCGGAUGUUGGACCGUUUGGGAUUGUCACGAAGUAUAAAAAAGGCUUUUUGGCUUGUCUUGGAUGGAACAUGGACUGUCACUAUUGGGAUAUAGCUACCUCAAUUUGGGACACUUUCCCUCCCUUAUCCGAACCGCAUGCAACUGGAGGAUUGGUGGUGGUUGAUUUUGGUCCUAUGGCAAUCGGCGGAAAAAACUUAUUAGAUCACUAUACAAACAGUGUCGAAGUGUACAACGAAACUAUCGGUUUAUGGGAACCUCACGUGGAUCUACCCAUAGCCCUUUCUGGCAUUGUGGCUCAUGCUAUUAACCCGAAAACCAUCAUUGUUAGUGGCGGUUUGGGAGAAAAUUUUAGCAAGGUAUUCAAACUCGUCGAAGGAGAUUCUAUGUGGACCAAAUUGGAAGAUCUACCUUUCUUGAUCUUCUUUCAAACGUCGCUCUUCCUCACACUACCGGAACUUGGAACAGGAAUUCUAGCGAUUGGUGGGUAUACACGAGCGACUCCAGGUGAUCCAGACCAAGCCACUAGGAAGGCCUACUUUUGGGACAUCACCGUGGAGACCUGGGAAUUGGUUGAACAAUAUAAUUGGCCAACGGGAAAUUACUUUGCAGACGGUAUAAUGUACCGUUUUGGGAAUAAGUUGAUUGCCUCACCUUUUUUUGAGCGCGCAAAUGGAACGAAUUAUAAGC
Molecule: RNA transcript, 1394 nt
Organism: Tigriopus californicus
Lineage: Eukaryota; Metazoa; Arthropoda; Copepoda; Harpacticoida; Harpacticidae
Exons: 3
Source: RefSeq, a predicted model, not a curated record